UACAGCGGGUAGUCGCUGUUCCAUGUAAAUGGGGCAGAGGAAAGUCGAGACACGCACACGGUUUUUGGCCUUGGGUCGGAGAUCGUGUAAAUUGGUGCCCGGCGCAAGCCGGGGCAGGGUGACCUGACGACGGUAAAAGCAACUCACCGAGUUGCGAGUAGCCAUAAAGUGCCACAGAAACAAUGUCACCGGGUGACCGGUGAGUGCAAGGGUAAACUCCACCGGCGUGCAACCCAAAUAGGCAGGGGCGUUUGCCGCCUGCGGGUAGGGGCACCUCGCUUGGCGAGGAAGGAGAACUUUCUCCUUAGAUAGAUGACUACUAGAACAGAAUCUCGCUUACGGCU
Molecule: RNase P RNA, 344 nt
Filed under: Desulforamulus aeronauticus DSM 10349
Lineage: Bacteria; Bacillati; Bacillota; Clostridia; Eubacteriales; Peptococcaceae
Description: Desulfotomaculum aeronauticum DSM 10349 Bacterial RNase P class B
Rfam family: Bacterial RNase P class B
About the family: Ribonuclease P (RNase P) is a ubiquitous endoribonuclease, found in archaea, bacteria and eukarya as well as chloroplasts and mitochondria. Its best characterised activity is the generation of mature 5'-ends of tRNAs by cleaving the 5'-leader elements of precursor-tRNAs.
Source: RNAcentral